This 318-nucleotide ribosomal RNA is filed under the name uncultured rhodophyte. RNAcentral's name for it is "bacterial SSU rRNA". It matches the Rfam family "Bacterial small subunit ribosomal RNA", at positions 359 to 692 of the family's 1533-position model. Lineage: Eukaryota; Rhodophyta. The record is from RNAcentral.
GAAUUUUCCGCAAUGGGCGAAAGCCUGACGGAGCAAUACCGCGUGAGGGAAGAAUGCCCGUGGGUUGUAAACCUCUUUUCUUAAGGAAGAAGAUCUGACGGUACUUAAGGAAUAAGCAUCGGCUAACUCCGUGCCAGCAGCCGCGGUAAUACGGAGGAUGCAAGCGUUAUCCGGAAUCAUUGGGCGUAAAGCGUCUGUAGGUGGCUUAGAAAGUCUGCUGUUAAAUCUUAGGGCUCAACCCUGAAUCAGCAGUGGAAACUUCUAGGCUAGAGUAUGGUAGGGGCAGAGGGAAUUCCCAGUGUAGCGGUGAAAUGCGUU